Crotalus tigris (Tiger rattlesnake) is the source of this 1413-nucleotide long non-coding RNA. RefSeq lists it as uncharacterized. The transcript is spliced from 2 exons. NCBI's taxonomy places the organism in Eukaryota, Metazoa, Chordata, Lepidosauria, Squamata, Viperidae. The record is from RefSeq and is a predicted model, not a curated record.
GAAUCCGCUCCCUCGCCAAUGCUUCGUGAAAGAAUAAGACCACGCCCCCUCCCUCUUCUUCACCAUUCGGUCGUGCGGUCUCUCUGAGAUAAACAGUAUUUUCUCUUCCGACCUCCUCGCCUUGAGGGGGGGGGUGCAAGUGGGGAAGAAAGCGUUUCUGAUUGGCUGAUGGGCCGAGACGAAGAAAAGGGAAGAGAGUAUUGGUUCAAAUGGCGCAUACCGUAGUACAGUAUUCGUUAGUCUACAGUAGGCGGGUCCACGUGGAAAGUUGUCUUUUUUCCUCAUUGGCUUAAGGAACGUAAAGUUUAGCAUUCAAUUGGUUGUGAAAGGUGCCCUUCUCGAAGGGGACGACGACAAGCGGGGACAGAAGGAAAAUGUGGACGUAGUGGCAGAAAACAUCCUACAAGUGAUUGAUUUCUCCCUAGUUAAAACUGUUUCAGAUAGCAGGAUGGGGGGGGGGGAGAGAAUCUUCCUGAGAUGCUAAAGAUGACACUGUUAAGUCCUUCGAACAAUGGCGAAUGAUGAAGACACAUCUUGUACUAAACAGCUCUUUAUUUCGUUUUCAGCCAAAACACCAACAACGAGCAAAGGCACGCAGGCCUCUUUUUAUAUGACCAGAUCCCCGGACACAGUGGCAACAAUCAGAGCGCUUUCGCACCUUGCGCAUGCGCACAAAGCUGGCGCCACUCAGUCUGGUCCCGGGCAGCUUCUGGAAUGCGCGGUACCAUUGCAACGUCCCGAGCCUGCUUGUGCAGGCUCGGGACACAACAGACACCAUAGUGUCAGAAAGCGUAGUUCAGGUUUAUACAGUUUCAACUAUUCAAUGGGUCUUACAAUUUAUAUUUUAUUCAAUUUGGUUGUAUCUUACCUGUACAUUGUCAAAAGUCCUUAGCAAUUCUGUAGACCUAUAAAUAAGAAUGUAAAUAAUAAAAAAUAUACUCUAUUUAGUUAUUUUUGUAUAGGUGAUACAGUAAAUGCUUGAUUAAGUCCAGUUUAAACAAAAUGUGUAAUUUUACAUCGAGAAGAAGCAUCAUUGUGAUGAAAAGUAGAUAGUUGGAUUUUUUCCAUGUUUUAUUUUGGAUCAAAACAUUUUUCCUUUUUUUGUAGUCUAAUAAAAUCUGAUGAUAUCUUAUGUAUUAUGUUUCACUGAAUAUAGAAGGAUGCACUUGUAAGGACUUUUUUGUCUAAUGUACUUUUUCUUUUCUGGAUGUUUCCACCAUAUUGAUCUUUUUUAUUCAUCCAAUCAUUGAUAUGCCUAAAGCUUAGUUGUUCCCACUCUAUAGAAUUGGUUGCAGUAAUGUGGCAUGUGUGAACAUUAAGAUAAACAUCCCUUUUGUCUGGAAAGAUAAAUAUUAAGCUCAUUUAAUUUCUGUUUUUGUUAUAUUAACAACAUGAUAUAAUGCUCUCAUAUAA